GACGAACCGAGCGAACGUUGUUCGGAAUCAUUGGGCGUAAAGGGUGCGCAGGCGGCGCGGUAAGUCGGGUGUGAAAUCUCGGAGCUUAACUCCGAAACUGCAUUCGAUACUGCCGUGCUUGAGGACUGGAGAGGAGACUGGAAUUUACGGUGUAGCGGUGAAAUGCGUAGAUAUCGUAAGGAAGACCAGUGGCGAAGGCGGGUCUCUGGACAGUUCCUGACGCUGAGGCACGAAGGCCAGGGGAGCAAACGGG
Molecule: ribosomal RNA, 253 nt
Filed under: uncultured bacterium
Lineage: Bacteria
Description: partial 16S ribosomal RNA
Rfam family: Bacterial small subunit ribosomal RNA
Source: RNAcentral